CUUCUCUUCCAGUGUAGAUCCACCGCCCAAGUUUGGAAUGAAAUUAUCGCUUGGCUUGGCAUUCACGACCAAUCUACGGCGGCUUGGCGGCACGAGGUCUCCAUUCAUGAUUGGUGGCUCAAAACGAUCAUCUCUAGAGGCCACAUCAAGAAGGCGAUUAUCUUGAUUAUAAUGCUUGUCUCGUUAAAAAUUUGGAAGGAGCGAAAUGGGAGAGUGAUCCGCAACAUGGCCACCCCGACCAUCGUCGUCGCUGCAAAAAUCAAAGAGGAGGUCCAUCUUUGGAUGCUGGCUGGAGUCAGUCAUGUGAGUACUCUUAUGUCGCGAGAGUAG
This 330-nucleotide ribosomal RNA is filed under the name Triticum aestivum (bread wheat). RNAcentral describes it as "partial small subunit ribosomal RNA". Lineage: Eukaryota; Viridiplantae; Streptophyta; Magnoliopsida; Poales; Poaceae. The record is from RNAcentral.